UACAGAGGGUGCGAGCGUUAAUCGGAAUUACUGGGCGUAAAGCGCGCGUAGGCGGCUUUGCAAGUCGGGUGUGAAAUCCCCAGGCUUAACCUGGGAACUGCAUUCGAGACUGCAUUGCUAGAGUAUGGGAGAGGGAAGUGGAAUUUCCGGUGUAGCGGUGAAAUGCGUAGAUAUCGGAAGGAACAUCAGUGGCGAAAGCGGAUCUCUGGGCCUUACCUGACGCUGAGGCGCGAAAGCUAGGGGAGCGAACAGG
RNAcentral lists this ribosomal RNA (253 nucleotides) under uncultured bacterium. Its description in RNAcentral is "partial 16S ribosomal RNA". It matches the Rfam family "Bacterial small subunit ribosomal RNA", at positions 524 to 776 of the family's 1533-position model. The record is from RNAcentral.